GACGAACGCUGGCGGCGUGCUUAACACAUGCAAGUCGAACGGAAAGGCCCUGCUUUUGUGGGGUGCUCGAGUGGCGAACGGGUGAGUAACACGUGAGUAACCUGCCCUUGACUUUGGGAUAACUUCAGGAAACUGGGGCUAAUACCGGAUAGGAGCUCCUGCUGCAUGGUGGGGGUUGGAAAGUUUCGGCGGUUGGGGAUGGACUCGCGGCUUAUCAGCUUGUUGGUGGGGUAGUGGCUUACCAAGGCUUUGACGGGUAGCCGGCCUGAGAGGGUGACCGGCAACAUUGGGACUGGGAUCCGGCCCAGGCUCCUACGGGAGGCAGCAGUGGGGAAUAUUGCACAGUGGGCGGAAGCCUGAUGCAGCAACGCCGCGUGCGGGAUGACGGCCUUCGGGUUGUAAACCGCUUUCGCCUGUGACGAAGCGUGAGUGACGGUAAUGGGUAAAGAAGCACCGGCUAACUACGUG
Molecule: ribosomal RNA, 468 nt
Filed under: uncultured bacterium
Lineage: Bacteria
Description: partial 16S ribosomal RNA
Rfam family: Bacterial small subunit ribosomal RNA
Source: RNAcentral